UACAGAGGUCCCGAGCGUUGUUCGGAUUCAUUGGGCGUAAAGGGUGCGUAGGCGGCGGGGCAAGUCUGAUGUGAAAUCCCGGGGCUCAACCCCGGAACUGCAUUGGAUACUGCCUUGCUAGAGUACUGGAGAGGGAACUGGAAUUUACGGUGUAGCAGUGAAAUGCGUAGAGAUCGUAAGGAAGGCCAGUGGCGAAGGCGGGUCUCUGGACAGUUCCUGACACUGAGGCACGAAGGCCAGGGGAGCAAACGGG
RNAcentral lists this ribosomal RNA (253 nucleotides) under uncultured bacterium. RNAcentral describes it as "partial 16S ribosomal RNA". It matches the Rfam family "Bacterial small subunit ribosomal RNA", at positions 524 to 776 of the family's 1533-position model. The record is from RNAcentral.